This is a non-coding RNA of Seriola dumerili (greater amberjack), 503 nucleotides long. The record is from the annotation of a RefSeq genome assembly. NCBI's taxonomy places the organism in Eukaryota, Metazoa, Chordata, Actinopteri, Carangiformes, Carangidae.
AACACAGGGCUGUGAAUGAGCCCUGUCACUGUGAUCAGGCUCCUCCUUCUGAUCCACCAUCUUAGUGUUGAUGAAGACUAAACUGAGAGACCACAGCCUGCUUUAUACUUGCUGUAGCUCACAGUGACUCAACACUGCAGACAUGAUGCCUCUGUUCAUCUCAGUGCUGCUGGCUGCUAUGUGCCUUGAAUGCAGAGCACAAAAAGAAAACGUGCUGCAACCAAAAGGAGACGUGACCGCUACUGAAGGAGAAGCAGUAACACUUGACUGUCGAUAUAACAGCAGUUCAACAACUCCAUAUCUCUACUGGUACAAACAGGGAUGGACCACAACCCAAAUUCAUCCUGAGCCGCAUUAAACUGGAUGAAGGAAACACAGCAGACGACCACAAGGAGAGAUUUUCAUCCACUCUGAAUUCCACCGUCAGAUCAGUUCCUCUGAAGAUCCAGAAGCUUCAGGUGUCUGACUCUGCUGUGUACUACUGUGCUUGCAGCCCACAGUGA